Molecule: ribosomal RNA, 2790 nt
Filed under: Shigella flexneri
Lineage: Bacteria; Pseudomonadati; Pseudomonadota; Gammaproteobacteria; Enterobacterales; Enterobacteriaceae
Description: partial 23S ribosomal RNA
Rfam family: Bacterial large subunit ribosomal RNA
Source: RNAcentral
GGUUAAGCGACUAAGCGUACACGGUGGAUGCCCUGGCAGUCAGAGGCGAUGAAGGACGUGCUAAUCUGCGAUAAGCGUCGGUAAGGUGAUAUGAACCGUUAUAACCGGCGAUUUCCGAAUGGGGAAACCCAGUGUGAUUCGUCACACUAUCAUUAACUGAAUCCAUAGGUUAAUGAGGCGAACCGGGGGAACUGAAACAUCUAAGUACCCCGAGGAAAAGAAAUCAACCGAGAUUCCCCCAGUAGCGGCGAGCGAACGGGGAGCAGCCCAGAGCCUGAAUCAGUGUGUGUGUUAGUGGAAGCGUCUGGAAAGGCGUGCGAUACAGGGUGACAGCCCCGUACACAAAAAUGCACAUACUGUGAGCUCGAUGAGUAGGGCGGGACACGUGGUAUCCUGUCUGAAUAUGGGGGGACCAUCCUCCAAGGCUAAAUACUCCUGACUGACCGAUAGUGAACCAGUACCGUGAGGGAAAGGCGAAAAGAACCCCGGCGAGGGGAGUGAAAAAGAACCUGAAACCGUGUACGUACAAGCAGUGGGAGCACGCUUAGGCGUGUGACUGCGUACCUUUUGUAUAAUGGGUCAGCGACUUAUAUUCUGUAGCAAGGUUAACCGAAUAGGGGAGCCGAAGGGAAACCGAGUCUUAACUGGGCGUUAAGUUGCAGGGUAUAGACCCGAAACCCGGUGAUCUAGCCAUGGGCAGGUUGAAGGUUGGGUAACACUAACUGGAGGACCGAACCGACUAAUGUUGAAAAAUUAGCGGAUGACUUGUGGCUGGGGGUGAAAGGCCAAUCAAACCGGGAGAUAGCUGGUUCUCCCCGAAAGCUAUUUAGGUAGCGCCUCGUGAAUUCAUCUCCGGGGGUAGAGCACUGUUUCGGCAAGGGGGUCAUCCCGACUUACCAACCCGAUGCAAACUGCGAAUACCGGAGAAUGUUAUCACGGGAGACACACGGCGGGUGCUAACGUCCGUCGUGAAGAGGGAAACAACCCAGACCGCCAGCUAAGGUCCCAAAGUCAUGGUUAAGUGGGAAACGAUGUGGGAAGGCCCAGACAGCCAGGAUGUUGGCUUAGAAGCAGCCAUCAUUUAAAGAAAGCGUAAUAGCUCACUGGUCGAGUCGGCCUGCGCGGAAGAUGUAACGGGGCUAAACCAUGCACCGAAGCUGCGGCAGCGACGCUUAUGCGUUGUUGGGUAGGGGAGCGUUCUGUAAGCCUGUGAAGGUGUGCUGUGAGGUAUGCUGGAGGUAUCAGAAGUGCGAAUGCUGACAUAAGUAACGAUAAAGCGGGUGAAAAGCCCGCUCGCCGGAAGACCAAGGGUUCCUGUCCAACGUUAAUCGGGGCAGGGUGAGUCGACCCCUAAGGCGAGGCCGAAAGGCGUAGUCGAUGGGAAACAGGUUAAUAUUCCUGUACUUGGUGUUACUGCGAAGGGGGGACGGAGAAGGCUAUGUUGGCCGGGCGACGGUUGUCCCGGUUUAAGCGUGUAGGCUGGUUUUCCAGGCAAAUCCGGAAAAUCAAGGCCGAGGCGUGAUGACGAGGCACUACGGUGCUGAAGCAACAAAUGCCCUGCUUCCAGGAAAAGCCUCUAAGCAUCAGGUAACAUCAAAUCGUACCCCAAACCGACACAGGUGGUCAGGUAGAGAAUACCAAGGCGCUUGAGAGAACUCGGGUGAAGGAACUAGGCAAAAUGGUGCCGUAACUUCGGGAGAAGGCACGCUGAUACGUAGGUGAAGCGACUUGCUCGUGGAGCUGAAAUCAGUCGAAGAUACCAGCUGGCUGCAACUGUUUAUUAAAAACACAGCACUGUGCAAACACGAAAGUGGACGUAUACGGUGUGACGCCUGCCCGGUGCCGGAAGGUUAAUUGAUGGGGUUAGCGCAAGCGAAGCUCUUGAUCGAAGCCCCGGUAAACGGCGGCCGUAACUAUAACGGUCCUAAGGUAGCGAAAUUCCUUGUCGGGUAAGUUCCGACCUGCACGAAUGGCGUAAUGAUGGCCAGGCUGUCUCCACCCGAGACUCAGUGAAAUUGAACUCGCUGUGAAGAUGCAGUGUACCCGCGGCAAGACGGAAAGACCCCGUGAACCUUUACUAUAGCUUGACACUGAACAUUGAGCCUUGAUGUGUAGGAUAGGUGGGAGGCUUUGAAGUGUGGACGCCAGUCUGCAUGGAGCCGACCUUGAAAUACCACCCUUUAAUGUUUGAUGUUCUAACGUGGACCCGUGAUCCGGGUUGCGGACAGUGUCUGGUGGGUAGUUUGACUGGGGCGGUCUCCUCCUAAAGAGUAACGGAGGAGCACGAAGGUUGGCUAAUCCUGGUCGGACAUCAGGAGGUUAGUGCAAUGGCAUAAGCCAGCUUGACUGCGAGCGUGACGGCGCGAGCAGGUGCGAAAGCAGGUCAUAGUGAUCCGGUGGUUCUGAAUGGAAGGGCCAUCGCUCAACGGAUAAAAGGUACUCCGGGGAUAACAGGCUGAUACCGCCCAAGAGUUCAUAUCGACGGCGGUGUUUGGCACCUCGAUGUCGGCUCAUCACAUCCUGGGGCUGAAGUAGGUCCCAAGGGUAUGGCUGUUCGCCAUUUAAAGUGGUACGCGAGCUGGGUUUAGAACGUCGUGAGACAGUUCGGUCCCUAUCUGCCGUGGGCGCUGGAGAACUGAGGGGGGCUGCUCCUAGUACGAGAGGACCGGAGUGGACGCAUCACUGGUGUUCGGGUUGUCAUGCCAAUGGCACUGCCCGGUAGCUAAAUGCGGAAGAGAUAAGUGCUGAAAGCAUCUAAGCACGAAACUUGCCCCGAGAUGAGUUCUCCCU